RNAcentral lists this ribosomal RNA (209 nucleotides) under uncultured bacterium. RNAcentral describes it as "partial 16S ribosomal RNA". It matches the Rfam family "Bacterial small subunit ribosomal RNA", at positions 524 to 733 of the family's 1533-position model. The record is from RNAcentral.
UACAGAGGGUGCGAGCGUUGUCCGGAAUCACUGGGCGUAAAGGGCGCGUAGGUGGCGGCCCAAGUCCAUGGUGAAAGCUCGACGCUCAACGUCGAGUCGGCCACUGAUACUGUUGGGCUUGAGCACUGUAGAGGCUAAUGGAAUUCCGGGUGUAGCGGUGGAAUGCGUAGAGAUCCGGAAGAACACCGGUGGCGAAGGCGGUAGCUGGG